This is a long non-coding RNA of Salvelinus fontinalis (brook trout), 5683 nucleotides long. RefSeq lists it as uncharacterized. The record is from RefSeq and is a predicted model, not a curated record. The transcript is spliced from 4 exons. Lineage: Eukaryota; Metazoa; Chordata; Actinopteri; Salmoniformes; Salmonidae.
UAGAGAUGCAUUUGCUAUAUGUGCUAUUUGAAGCUUCUGUUUAACUGAAUUGUUUUGUCUGGAGUAGCAAUUAUUAUCUUCUGAUAGUCCGAUUAAGCUUUUUGUGUAUGUGAGUGCAUGUUGCAUGCCUUUGUGUUCUGUGAGAUCCUCUCCCCUUGACUACAGUCUCUUUUUUCUCUAACCCCUCCUCCUCCUCUUCUCCUCUCCAUUCGCUGCAGGCCUAGAGUGUGUGGGUGUUUUAAAGGGGCUGGCAGGAGGGGUGUGGGGGCUUCAGUCCCACCCUUCUCUCCCUCUGGUGGGUUCUUGUGGUUUGGAUCACUUUGAGGGUACACAGCCUGGAGGACCGCUCUCUACGGAACAAGGUGUAUAUGAAGUCACGACUCAACUGUGUGCUUCUGUCCAACAGAGAUCUCGAGUACAGGAGUGAACGGAGAUGUGGAGGAAGUAAAAGAAGAUGGAGGAGAACUGGAUGAGGUGUGGAACACAAUGGGGAUGAUAAAAGAGAAGGCGAAGAAAAGAGCAACAGAAGAAUAGGAAGCUGUUGUUGUAGAAGCAGACAAGAGGAAGCUGUUGUUGAAGAAGCAGAGAAGAGGAAGCUGUUGUUGAAGAAGCAGAGAAGAGGAAGCUGUUGUUGAAGAAGCAGAGAAGAGGAAGCUGUUGUUGAAGAAGCAGAGAAGAGGAGGCUGUUGUUGAAGAAGCAGAGAAGAGGAAGCUGUUGUUGAAGAAGCAGAGAAGAGGAGGCUAUUGUUGAAGAAGCAGAGAAGAGGAAGCUGUUGUUGAAGAAGCAGAGAAGAGGAAGAUGUUGAAGAAGACUAAGAAGAGGCAUCAAACACUAUUUAUUUCUGAAACAUAUUAUACCCUUAUAUUAAACUAAAUAUGGCUGAUACCGCAGUAGACACGACCACAACCACUGAGAUUUCAGAAAAGGAGCUCAAAGAGAGGAAAGAGGAGGUGGAGUAGAAGGAGAAUGGCAGUUGGGACGCACCAGCCAACAGCAAUGGAACACACACAAAUGGUGCAGAGAAGAAGACCAAUUGUGCAGAUGAUUCUGAAGAAACCCCUGAGGGUGAGAAGGAAGAGGAGGAUGGAGAGGGACUGGAUGCAGCUAAGGAUGCAGAAUAAGCUGUGAUGAGGAGGUUGACCACCCUGUGAAGCGUCCAGCUGAUGAGGAGGUUGACCACCCUGUGAAGCGCCCAACUGAUGAGGAGGUUAACCACCCUGUGAAGCGCCCAGCUGAUGAGGAGGAACAAGUGGAAAGAAAAAAACAGAAAACGGUGAAUCAAAGGAAGCUGAAGUGAAGACAUAAUGUGCGGAGUAUGUACUCCUCCGCAUCGCUGUCUACAUGGCGUGUUCAACUUCACCUUGAAGAGCUUGUGCUUUAUGUAUGCUUUAAAUAAUGGCACCGGGGGGGUGGCUGCCAUUUUACGGGCUCCUAACCAACUGUGCUAUAUUGUUGUUUCUAACUUAUUAUUUUACUUAUUUUGUACAUAUUGUUGCUGCUACCGUCUUUUUUGACCGAAAACAGCUUCUAGACAUCAGAACAGUAAUUACUCACCUCGAACUGGACAAAGACUUUUUCUUUAACGAAUCCGACGCAGAGGAUAUACUGCAUUCUCGAGACCAGGCCCAAACCCUGUCAUUUGCGAGAAGAAAAGACGGAGAUAAAGGGGGUGGAGGUCGGGCUUCCUUCUGAGAAUUCGUAGGCGAGUGAGUAAACUUCCACUACCAUUCGUACUAUUGGCCAACGUGCAAUCACUGGAAAAUAAAGUGGAUGAUCUACGAUUUAAGAAUAUCCUACCAACGUGACAUUAAAAACUGUGCUAUCUUAUGUUUCACCAAGUCGUGGCUGAACGACGACACAGAUACUAUAGAGCUGGCUGGGUAUUCCGUGCAUCGGCAGGACAGAGAAGCUACGUCUGGUAAGACAAGGGGCGGGGAGGUUUGUAAAUAACAUCUGGUGCACAAUUUCUAAUAUUAAAGAAGUCUCGAGGUACUGCUCGCCUGAGAUAGAAUACCUCAUGAUAAGCUGUAAACCACACUAUCUACCAAGAAAGUUCUCAUCUAUAUCUAUUUAUAUAUAUAAAUAUAUAUCUAUCAAAACGAUGCUGGCACUAAGACCGCACUCAACGAUCUAUAUAAGGCCAUAAGUAAAGAAAAAAAUGCUCAUCCAGAAGCGCCGCUCGUAGUGGCCGGGGACUUUAAAUGCAGGCAAACUUAAAUCCGUUUGACCUAAUUUUGACCAGCAUGUCACAUGUGCAACCAGAGGGAUACAUAACAUACAAAGCUCUCCCUCACCGUCCAUUUGGCAAAUCUGACCAUAAUUCUAUCCUCCUGAUUCCUGCUUACAAGCAAAAACUAAAGCAGGAAGUACCAGUGACUCGCUCAAUAUGGAAGUGGUCAGAUGACACGGAUGCUACGCUACAGGACUGUUUUGCUAGCACAGACUGGAACAUGUUCCGGGAUUCAUCCAAUGGCAUUGAGGAGUAUACCGCUUCAUCAAUAAGUUCAUCGACGACAUCGUCCCCACAGUGACCGUACGUACAUAUCCCAACCAGAAGCCAUGGAUAGCUAAAGGCUAGAGCUGCCGCUUUCAAGGAUCGGGACACUAAUCCGGACGCUUAUAAGAAAUCCCGCUACGCCCUCAGAAGAACCAAUCAAACAGACAGUGUCAAUACAGGACUAAGAUUGAAUCCUACUACACCGGCUCUGACGCUCGUCGGAUGUGGCAGGGCUUGAAAACCAUUACAAACUACAAAAGGAAACCCAGCCACGAGCUGCCCUGUGACGCGAGCCUACCAGACGAGCUUACCAGACGAACUAAAUGCCUUUUAAUACUUACUUCGAGGCAAGCAACACUGAAGCAUGCAUUAGAUCGCCAGCCAUUCCGGACGACUGUGUGAUCACACUCUCGGUAGCACAUGUGAGCAAGACUGCUGAUCCUCAACACUGGGGCCCCUCGGGGUGCGCGCUUCGUCCCCUCCUGUACUCCCUGUUCACCCACGACUGCGUGGCCAAACACGACUCCAACACCCUCAUUUAAGUUUGCUGAUGACACAACUAGAGGUCGACCGAUUAUGAUUUUUCAAAGCCGAUACCGAUUAUUGGAGGACCAAAAAAAGCCGAUACCGAUUAAAUGGCCGAUUUUUAAUAAAAAAAAUGUUUUUUUGUAAUAAUGACAAUUACAACAAUACUGAAUGAACACUUAUUUUAACUUAAUAUAAUACAUCAAUAAAAUUAAUUUAGCCUCAAAUAAAUAAUGAAACAUGUUCAAUUUGGUUUAAAUAAUGCAAAAACAAAGUGUUGGAGAAGAAAGUAAAAGUGCAAUAUGUGCCAUGUAAAAAAGCUAACGUUUAAGUUCCUUGCUCAGAACAUGAGAACAUAUGAAAGCUGGUGGUUCCUUUUAACAUGAGUCUUCAAUAUUCCCAGGUAAGAAGUUUUAGGUUGUAGUUAUUAUAGGAAUUAUAGGACUAUUUCUCUCUACGAUUUGUAUGUCAUAUACCUUUGCCUAUUGGAUGUUCUUAUAGGCACUUUAGUAUUGCCAGUGUAAUAGUAUAGCUUCCAUCCCUCUCCUCGCCCCUACCUGGGCUCGAACCAGGAACACAUCGACAACAGCCACCCUCGAAGCAGCGUUACCCCUGCAGAGCAAGGGGAACAACUACCCCAAGUCUCAGAGCGAGUGACGUUUUAAACGCUAUUAGCGCACACCCCGCUAUCUAGCUAGCCAUUUCACAUCGGUUACACCAGCCUAAUCUCGGGAGUUGAUAGGCUUGAAGUCAUAAACAGCUCAAGGCUUGAAGCACAGCGACGAGCUGCUGGCAAAACGCACGAAAGUGCUGUUUGAAUGAAUGCUUACGAGCCUGCUGGUGCCUACCAUCGCUCAGUCAGACUGCUCUAUCAAAUCAAUCAUAGACUUAAUUAUAACAUAAUAACACACAGAAAUACGAGCCUUUGGUCAUUAAAAUGGUCGAAUCCGGAAACUAUCAUUUCGAAAACAAAACGUUUAUUCUUUCAGUGAAAUACGGAACUGUUCCGUAUUUUAUCUAACGGAUGGCAUCCCUAAGUCUAAAUAUUCCUGUUACAUUGUACAACAUUCAAUGUUAUGUCAUAAUUAUGUACAAUUCUGGCAAAUUAACUACAACCUUUGUUAGGAAUAAAUGGACUUCGCACAGUUCGCAAUGAGCCAGGCGGCCCAAACUGCUGCAUAUACCCUGACUGCUUGCACGGAACGCAAGAGAAAUUACACAAUUUCCCUAGUUAUAAGAAAUUCAUGUUAGCAGGCAAUAUUAUCUACAUAUGCAGGUUUAAAAAUAUAUACUUGUGUAUUGAUUUUAAAGAAAGGCAUUGAUGUGUAUGGUUAGGUACAUUGGUGCAACGACAGCGCUUUUUUCCACAAAUGCGCUUGUUAAAUCAUCAUCCGUUUGUCGAAGUAGGCUGUGAUUCAAUGAGAAAUUAACAGGCACCACAUCGAUUAUAUGCAACGCAGGACACGCUCGAUAAACUAGUAAUAUCAUCAACCAUGUGUAGUUAACUAGUGAUUAUGUUAAGAUUGAUUGUUUUUUAUAAGAUAAGUUUAAUGCUAGCUAGCAACUUACCUUUGCUUCUUGCUGCCCUCACGUAACAGGUAGUCAGCCUGCCACGCAGGCUCCUCGUGGAGUGCAAUGUACUGCAGUGGGUAGAGUGUUGGACUAGUAUCCGGAAGGUUGCAAAAACGAAUCCCCGAGCUGACAAGGUAAAAAUCUGUCGUUCUGCCCCUGAACAAGGCAGUUAACCUACCGUUCCUAGGCCGUCAUUGAAAAUAAGAAUGUGUUCUUAACUGACUUGCCUAGUUAAAUAAAGGUGUAAAGAAUUAUCUGCAAAUCGUUGUCCAAAAAUACAGAUUACCGAUUGUUAUGAAAACUUUUAAUCGGCCCUUCCGAUUAAUCGGUCGACCUCUAGACACAACAGUGGUAGGCCUGAUCACUGACAACAAUGAGACAGUCUAUAGAGAGGACAUCAAAGAACAGGCCCCCAUUAACAUCGAUGGGGCUGUAGCGAAGUGGGUCCAGAGUUUCAAGUUCCCUGGUGUCCAGAUCACUAACAAACUACCAUGGUCCAAACACACCAAGACAGUCGUGAAGAGGGCACGGCAGCACCUUCUCCUUCUCAGGAGACUGAAAAGCGCCAAGUCUAGGACCAAAAGGCUCCUUUAACAGGUUCUACCCCCAAGCCAUAAGACUACUGAACAAUUAAUCAAAUGGCCACCCGGACUAUUUACAUUGACCACCCCCUCCCUUUGUUUUACACUGCUGCUACUCGCUGUUUAUUAUUAUUAUCUAUGCAUGGUCACUUCACCCCUACCUACAUGUACAAAAUAACUAAAACUACCCUGUACCCCCCCGCACAUUGACUCGGUACCGGUACCCCCUCUAUAUAGCCUUGUUAUUUUUAUUAUGUUACUUUUUAUUUUACUAUUUUUACUUUAGUUUAUUUAGUAAAUAUCUUCUUAACUCUUUCAUGAACUGCAUUGUUGGUUAAGUAAGCAUUUCCCUGUUGUAUUCGGAGCAUGUGACAAAUACAAUUUUAUUUGAUUUUGUUUGUCCCCAAGAUAUUACAUUGCACCAGAGUGCUAAAACAUAGAGGCCUGUCCUCUCUUUUUAUAAACUUAUUUAUUGGUUUCUUACGCGAAAUAAAAAAUUAAAACCUU